AGAGUUUGAUCCUGGCUCAGAUUGAACGCUGGCGGCGUGCCUAACACAUGCAAGUCGAGCGGUAACAGGUGUAGCAAUACAUGCUGACGAGCGGCGAACGGGUGAGUAAUGCUUUGGAAUCUUCCCAGUAGUGGGGAAUAACCAGUCGAAAGAUUGGCUAAUACCGCAUACGUCUGUAAAGGGAAAGCGGGGGCUCGUAAGACCUCGCGCUAUUGGAUGAGCCAAAGUCGGAUUAGCUAGUUGGUGGGGUAAUGGCCUACCAAGGCGACAAUCCGUAGCUGGUCUGAGAGGACGACCAGCCACACCGGAACUGAGACACGGUCCGGACUCCUACGGGAGGCAGCAGUGGGGAAUAUUGGACAAUGGGGGAAACCCUGAUCCAGCGACGCCGCGUGUGUGAAGAAGGCCUGCGGGUUGUAAAGCACUUUUAGUGGGGACAAAAAGCUACGGAUUAAUACUCUGUGGUCUUGAUUUAACCCAAAGAAAAAGCACCGGCUAACUCUGUGCCAGCAGCCGCGGUAAUACAGAGGGUGCGAGCGUUAAUCGGAAUUACUGGGCGUAAAGCGCGCGUAGACGGUUUUGUAAGUCAGAUGUGAAAUCCCUGGGCUCAACCUGGGAACUGCAUUUGAGACUGCAUGGCUAGAGUAUCGAAGAGGGAAGUGGAAUUUCCGGUGUAGCGGUGAAAUGCGUAGAUAUCGGAAGGAACACCAGUGGCGAAAGCGACUUCCUGGUCGAAUACUGACGUUCAUGUGCGAAAGCGUGGGGAGCAAACAGGAUUAGAUACCCUAGUAGUCC
RNAcentral lists this ribosomal RNA (795 nucleotides) under uncultured bacterium. RNAcentral describes it as "bacterial SSU rRNA". It matches the Rfam family "Bacterial small subunit ribosomal RNA", at positions 8 to 796 of the family's 1533-position model. The record is from RNAcentral.